GGAAAACCAGCUCUGUACAAUUCAAACCGAUGAAACGUUGUACAGAGC
This is a regulatory RNA element of Anaerocolumna jejuensis DSM 15929, 48 nucleotides long. It matches the Rfam family "uup RNA". The record is from Rfam. NCBI's taxonomy places the organism in Bacteria, Bacillati, Bacillota, Clostridia, Lachnospirales, Lachnospiraceae.